Molecule: ribosomal RNA, 468 nt
Filed under: uncultured bacterium
Lineage: Bacteria
Description: partial 16S ribosomal RNA
Rfam family: Bacterial small subunit ribosomal RNA
Source: RNAcentral
GACGAACGCUGGCGGCGUGCUUAACACAUGCAAGUCGAACGGAAAGGCCCUGCUUUUGUUGGUUUCUCGAGUGGCGAACGGGUGAGUAACACGUUUGUAACCUGCCCUUUACUUUGUUAUAUCUUCAGGAAACUGGGUCUAAUACCUGAUAUGAUCUCCUGCUGCUUUGUUGUGUUUGUUAAUUUUCGGCGGUUGGGGAUUGACUCGCGGCUUAUCAGCUUGUUUGUGGGGUAGUGGCUUACCAAGGCUUUGACGGGUAGCCGGCAUGAGAGGGUUAACGGCGACAUUGGGACUGAGAUACGGAACAGACUGCUACGGGAGGCAGAAGGGGGGAAUAUUGCACAAUGGGAGGAAGCGUGAUGAAGAAAAGCAGCGUGCGGGAUGAAGGGCUUCGGGUUGUAAACAGAAUUAGAAUGUGAAGAAGAGUGAGUGACGGUAAUGGGUAAAGAAGCACCGGCUAACUACGUG